Molecule: long non-coding RNA, 1207 nt
Filed under: Junco hyemalis (dark-eyed junco)
Lineage: Eukaryota; Metazoa; Chordata; Aves; Passeriformes; Passerellidae
Description: lncRNA (ENSJHYG00000017748.1)
Source: RNAcentral
AUGAGAAGUUCAGAAGUAAUUAGGGAAGUGCUGUUUGAGCUCAUCCAGUUAUUUUCAAUUUCUCUCUUCAGUUCGCACCGCAGCACAAAAGAUCGUCACGUAAAAAAAAAAAAUCGGACUGCUCAGAAAACUCAUUUUCUCUUAAAAAGAAAGGGACGGGGAAAAAAAGAAGCCAUCCGUUAUUUGGGCCGAGUUUGCUCUUUACUGAAGUGCAGUGCCAAACUUGACGUGAUCCCGAGAGGGGCUGCCCCUGCCCGCACCGCGCCUCUGCCUCCCCAGCCCGGGUUUCCUGCUGGCGCCCCAGGGCCACCGCCCAGCUCCGGCUCGUCGUCCAGCGUUCAGGCUCCAUCUGGGUGUGCAAGCAACAAUUACAGUUUUGCCGCGAUUAAAACACCACCAUUGCCACGUUCCUCUCCUGUUCGUGUGUUUUACAAUUACGGAUCUUGAACAGCUGCAGCUCAGACUUCGCUAACCAAAUCCCAUCGCCCAUCAGGUGUUGCAGGGGAGAUUUAAAAAGGGCGAGGGAAGCAUUUGUGUCCUGGAAGCCUAACUACAGUUUUGGGGAUUUCAGCUCUGAAAGGUUACACACAAAGAUUGCUGAUGCAAGUGGUGAAAUGAACACUUAAUGCUAUUAUUACUGUUUUGCUCAGAUACUGUCCCCGAGGUUAAAGAAAAAUUAAAACACCUUAUUUUAUAUGUAGAGUGGUGAUAAGUAGGUCUCUCUUCCAGCCUUGUUAAGUAUACGACCUGGCAAGUGCCACCUAGGAUUUUGAUAUUAAUCUAUUAAAUUCGCCUUUUUUUCUAACAGAGAUUGACUUAUGGACAUCAAUGUUUUUAGCUAAAAGGACUACAUNNNNNNNNNNNNNNNNNNNNNNNNNNNNNNNNNNNNCCCCCCCCCCGUUCUUACUAACUGGAUGGGUUGUGGAUUUGACAGCAGCCGCUGGUCCAUGCCACCGAACUAAAAUAAUUUCACAGUGAAAAACCAGCUUGAGAGGACAAGCAACAGAAGGGCAAAACCCAUCAAAACCCGAAACUGUGAUCAAUCUGACCAGAGUCGGGCAUACAUUAGUUUAAAUUAAACAGUUUUGUCUUUCUCACAAAUCUUUUUUGAACAUUAAAGAUAGAAUCAUGUAAUAUUUAAAUCAACUCUUGUCAGAUGCUAAGUGCAACUGAAGAACCAAAAUAAAAAUUAAUGCGUUUCCCUCCA